RNAcentral lists this ribosomal RNA (468 nucleotides) under uncultured bacterium. Its description in RNAcentral is "partial 16S ribosomal RNA". It matches the Rfam family "Bacterial small subunit ribosomal RNA", at positions 28 to 507 of the family's 1533-position model. The record is from RNAcentral.
GACGAACGCUGGCGGCGUGCUUAACACAUGCCAGUCGAACGGAAAGGCCCUGCUUUUGUGGGGUGCUCGAGUGGCGAACGGGUGAGUAACACGUGAGUAACCUGCCCUUGACUUUGGGAUAACUUCAGGAAACUGGGGCUAAUACCGGAUAGGAGCUCCUGCUGCAUGGUGGGGGUUGGAAAGUCUCGGCGGUCGGGGAUGGACUCGCGGCUUAUCAGCUUGUUGGUGGGGUAGUGGCUUACCAAGGCUUUGACGGGUAGCCGGCCUGGGAGGGUGACCGGCGACAAGGGUACUGAGGGACGCACCAGAGUCGUACGGUAGGCAGCAGGGGGAAAUAUGGCACAAUGAGCGCAAGCCUGAUGAAGCAACGCCGGGUGCGUGAUGACGUUCUGUGGGUUGAAAACCGCUUUAGCCUGUGACGAAGCGGGAGUGACGGUAAUGGGUAAAGAAGCACCGGCUAACUACGUG